RNAcentral lists this ribosomal RNA (342 nucleotides) under uncultured Pseudomonadota bacterium. RNAcentral's name for it is "bacterial SSU rRNA". It matches the Rfam family "Bacterial small subunit ribosomal RNA", at positions 29 to 351 of the family's 1533-position model. Lineage: Bacteria; Pseudomonadati; Pseudomonadota. The record is from RNAcentral.
AACGAACGCUGGCGGCGUGCUUAACACAUGCAAGUCGAACGAGAAAAUCCUGGCUUGCCAGGAUGAGUAAAGUGGCGCACGGGUGAGUAACACGUGAGUAAUCUGCCCCUAAGUUAGGAAUAACAUUGCGAAAGCGAUGCUAAUACCUGGUAAGCCCACGACUUCUUCGGUAGAUGUGGGAAAAGGUGGCCUCUGACAUAAGCUAUCACUUAGGGAUGAGCUCGCGGACCAUUAGCUUGUUGGUAGGGUAAUGGCCUACCAAGGCGACGAUGGUUAGCGGGUCUGAGAGGAUGAUCCGCCACACUGGAACUGGAACACGGACCAGACUCCUACGGGAGGCAG